CCAUGUGAAUAUCUAUCUAUAUAUAUUUCUAAAUUCUUAAUCGGAAUGAUACUUUUUUUAGUAAAAUAAAAUAGAAAAUCAACUAAAUAUGUGCAAAAAUGUGCAUAGGCAUGAGGGAUCAGAGCUAGAAUGUUUCCCAAUCGUACCAAACAAAGCGUGCGGGAUAUUUUAUUCAAUAUAUUGCAUUAUAAUGGGAUGUAUUUUCCUUUUCUUUGACAUAAUAACAUUUGGGACUCAUUUUCACCAUACAUCAGGAGACUGUUUUAUAAUGGCUGUAUCAAUUUUGUAUGUUAUCGCUGGAUUUUUUUUAUUCUUUGGAAUAUUGCUUGAAAUUACUUUCUUCAUCGUGGUGGGAAAAGUUUUCAGUUACUUUUGGCCAUUACUGUAUUGCAUUCUCGUAUUUCCAUUAUUUAUUCAUAUAAUGAGCGUCAUAAAAAUUUGUGCUUUUAAAAGACAUAUCCAGUAGAUGCAGCCGAGUAUUUUUUUUAAAUU
RNAcentral lists this small RNA (492 nucleotides) under Drosophila ananassae. RNAcentral describes it as "GF26418". The record is from RNAcentral. Lineage: Eukaryota; Metazoa; Arthropoda; Insecta; Diptera; Drosophilidae.